RNAcentral lists this transfer RNA (63 nucleotides) under Crenomytilus grayanus. RNAcentral describes it as "tRNA-Arg". Lineage: Eukaryota; Metazoa; Mollusca; Bivalvia; Mytilida; Mytilidae. The record is from RNAcentral.
UAUUUUUAGGCCAGUGGCAUUUUGAUUUCGGCUCAAAAAGGGUGAGUAACCUCACAAAAGUAU